UGUGGAAGCGUGGAGACGGACAAAGAAAACAAGACGAUAGACUCGAUCAGCCCUGAAGCUUUGUCCAACCUACUUACAAGAAUAAUGUCAAAAUUGUACUGAGUCGCUGGAGAUCCUCCGGUCAACAAUGAACAUCUGGUGGUCCGGCGUUUACGGAGGGGGCGGAGGAACAUCUGCAGACGACACAGGCGGGGGGGCUUCAGGCCCAGCGCCUCUAUCCUAUUAAUAGGAUAAUUGUGUUGGGCGGGAGGUGGAACAUCACUGAUGUCACGCAGGUUGAGGACAAUCAGACUCUUGAUCUGACCGAGGGGCGAUGUGGGAAGAAGGAACUGGGCCGUCCUGCAAAACCUGCACGGAGGGAAAAGUCAAUGCGGAAGGAUGAAAAGGGAGAUCGUUAGUGAAUUAGCUCAAAGGUUACAGGGUAAUUGCUUCCUUGGAGGGCGUCUAACUUCUUUUCAAAGUGAAGGAGAUGAAGUGCUGGGAUCAGAAAAGGUUUCAUCAGGAUCCAGAAAAAGUGAGGGGAAGGAAUCCAGUUGAGGCGAUGAGGAGGGAGCGUGGGGGAGGGUUCAAUGCGACGUACGUAAACGGUCUCUGACCCACAGGUAGAAAGUAUUUAAGAAUCAGACCACCUGAGGGCAGCAGUGAUCCACACCGGAGCCACGCUCAUCCUUUUCUCUCCCGAAUCACAUCUGGAAAUCCACAUCAAGUCUCCCAGAAUAUGAGACUGAAAAGAGGACCAAAAACCCGUUUGGAUAUUCCUCAAGCUGUCUGCUUAAAAGAUGCGUCCGGGCUUCACCUGGUCACAUGUUUGUCCCUCACAACUAAAGCAUUAAGUGUGAAAUCGAUCUUAUAAAACACUGAUUAUAUAGAAUUUUCGUAUUCAUCACGUCAUUGUUAAUUGUUAAUUAACUUUACCAUUUUAAUUAAAUCGUUCAUUAUCAGUAAACAAUGUAGGAAAUUGAUAAACAGUCCUCACCGUGUUAUUAGACGGUAAUUAACUUCUAAACGAUGACCGAUGUGCUUCCUCACACAGAUUAGCAGGGUUACUUCAUUCAUUACAUUUAUCUUUGGUUGGAUCAUGUAAUCGGUUUACAGCAUAUUCCGCUAAUCUAAAU
Gasterosteus aculeatus aculeatus (three-spined stickleback) is the source of this 1115-nucleotide long non-coding RNA. The record is from Ensembl. NCBI's taxonomy places the organism in Eukaryota, Metazoa, Chordata, Actinopteri, Perciformes, Gasterosteidae.